This 279-nucleotide ribosomal RNA is filed under the name uncultured Staphylococcus sp. RNAcentral's name for it is "partial 16S ribosomal RNA". It matches the Rfam family "Bacterial small subunit ribosomal RNA", at positions 83 to 355 of the family's 1533-position model. The record is from RNAcentral. Lineage: Bacteria; Bacillati; Bacillota; Bacilli; Caryophanales; Staphylococcaceae.
CCUUUGACGUUAGCGGCGGACGGGUGGGUAACACGUGGGUAACCUACCUAUAAGACUGGGAUAACUUCGGGAAACCGGAGCUAAUACCGGAUAAUAUUUCGAACCGCAUGGUUCGAUAGUGAAAGGUGGUUUUGCUAUCACUUAUAGAUGGACCCGCGCCGUAUUAGCUAGUUGGUAAGGUAACGGCUUACCAAGGCGACGAUACGUAGCCGACCUGAGAGGGUGAUCGGCCACACUGGAACUGAGACACGGUCCAGACUCCUACGGGAGGCAGCAGCU